GGGUUUGUAGCUCAGCUGGUUAGAGUGCGCGCCUGAUAAGUGCGAGGUCGGUGGUUCAAGUCCACCCAGACCCACCA
This 77-nucleotide transfer RNA is filed under the name Alphaproteobacteria bacterium. Its description in RNAcentral is "tRNA-Ile". It matches the Rfam family "tRNA". Rfam says of the family: Transfer RNA (tRNA) molecules are approximately 80 nucleotides in length. RNAcentral also lists the same sequence under 2 other names. The record is from RNAcentral. Lineage: Bacteria; Pseudomonadati; Pseudomonadota; Alphaproteobacteria.